UGUGAACUCGAAGAGUAGGGCGGGACACGUGGUAUCCUGUCUGAAUAUGGGGGGACCAUCCUCCAAGGCUAAAUACUCCUGACUGACCGAUAGUGAACCAGUACCGUGAGGGAAAGGCGAAAAGAACCCCGGCGAGGGGAGUGAAAAAGAACCUGAAACCGUGUACGUACAAGCAGUGGGAGCACCUUCGGGUGUGACUGCGUACCUUUUGUAUAAUGGGUCAGCGACUUAUAUUCUGUAGCAAGGUUAACCGUAUAGGGGAGCCGCAGGGAAACCGAGUCUUAACUGGGCGUUAAGUUGCAGGGUAUAGACCCGAAACCCGGUGAUCUAGCCAUGGGCAGGUUGAAGGUUGGGUAACACUAACUGGAGGACCGAACCGACUAAUGUUGAAAAAUUAGCGGAUGACUUGUGGCUGGGGGUGAAAGGCCAAUCAAACCGGGAGAUAGCUGGUUCUCCCCGAAAGCUAUUUAGGUAGCGCCUCGUGAACUCAUCUUCGGGGGUAGAGCACUGUUUCGGCUAGGGGGUCAUCCCGACUUACCAACCCGAUGCAAACUACGAAUACCGAAGAAUGUUAUCACGGGAGACACACGGCGGGUGCUAACGUCCGUCGUGAAGAGGGAAACAACCCAGACCGCCAGCUAAGGUCCCAAAGUCAUGGUUAAGUGGGAAACGAUGUGGGAAGGCACAGACAGCCAGGAUGUUGGCUUAGAAGCAGCCAUCAUUUAAAGAAAGCGUAAUAGCUCACUGGUCGAGUCGGCCUGCGCGGAAGAUGUAACGGGGCUAAACCAUGCACCGAAGCUGCGGCAGCGACACUAUGUGUUGUUGGGUAGGGGAGCGUUCUGUAAGCCUGCGAAGGUGACCUGUGAGGGUUGCUGGAGGUAUCAGAAGUGCGAAUGCUGACAUAAGUAACGAUAAAGCGGGUGAAAAGCCCGCUCGCCGGAAGACCAAGGGUUCCUGUCCAACGUUAAUCGGGGCAGGGUGAGUCGACCCCUAAGGCGAGGCCGAAAGGCGUAGUCGAUGGGAAACAGGUUAAUAUUCCUGUACUUGGUGUUACUGCGAAGGGGGGACGGAGAAGGCUAUGUUAGCCGGGCGACGGUUGUCCCGGUUUAAGCAUGUAGGCUGGUUGUCCAGGCAAAUCCGGAUAAUCAAGGCUGAGGUGUGAUGACGAGGCACUACGGUGCUGAAGUAACAAAUGCCCUGCUUCCAGGAAAAGCCUCUAAGCAUCAGGUAACAUCAAAUCGUACCCCAAACCGACACAGGUGGUCAGGUAGAGAAUACCAAGGCGCUUGAGAGAACUCGGGUGAAGGAACUAGGCAAAAUGGUGCCGUAACUUCGGGAGAAGGCACGCUGGUGUGUAGGUGAAGUCCCUGCGGAUGGAGCUGAGACCAGUCGAAGAUACCAGCUGGCUGCAACUGUUUAUUAAAAACACAGCACUGUGCAAACACGAAAGUGGACGUAUACGGUGUGACGCCUGCCCGGUGCCGGAAGGUUAAUUGAUGGGGUUAUCCGUAAGGAGAAGCUCUUGAUCGAAGCCCCGGUAAACGGCGGCCGUAACUAUAACGGUCCUAAGGUAGCGAAAUUCCUUGUCGGGUAAGUUCCGACCUGCACGAAUGGCGUAAUGAUGGCCAGGCUGUCUCCACCCGAGACUCAGUGAAAUUGAACUCGCUGUGAAGAUGCAGUGUACCCGCGGCAAGACGGAAAGACCCCGUGAACCUUUACUAUAGCUUGACACUGAACAUUGAGCCUUGAUGUGUAGGAUAGGUGGGAGGCUUUGAAGCGUGGACGCCAGUCUGCGUGGAGCCAACCUUGAAAUACCACCCUUUAAUGUUUGAUGUUCUAACGUUGGCCCCUGACCGGGGUUGCGGACAGUGUCUGGUGGGUAGUUUGACUGGGGCGGUCUCCUCCCAAAGCGUAACGGAGGAGCACGAAGGUUAGCUAAUCCUGGUCGGACAUCAGGAGGUUAGUGCAAUGGCAUAAGCUAGCUUGACUGCGAGCGUGACGGCGCGAGCAGGUGCGAAAGCAGGUCAUAGUGAUCCGGUGGUUCUGAAUGGAAGGGCCAUCGCUCAACGGAUAAAAGGUACUCCGGGGAUAACAGGCUGAUACCGCCCAAGAGUUCAUAUCGACGGCGGUGUUUGGCACCUCGAUGUCGGCUCAUCACAUCCUGGGGCUGAAGUAGGUCCCAAGGGUAUGGCUGUUCGCCAUUUAAAGUGGUACGCGAGCUGGGUUUAGAACGUCGUGAGACAGUUCGGUCCCUAUCUGCCGUGGGCGCUGGAGAAUUGAGGGGGGCUGCUCCUAGUACGAGAGGACCGGAGUGGACGCAUCACUGGUGUUCGGGUUGUCAUGCCAAUGGCACUGCCCGGUAGCUAAAUGCGGAAGAGAUAAGUGCUGAAAGCAUCUAAGCACGAAACUUGCCCCGAGAUGAGUUCUCCCUGAGACUUUAAGUCUCCUGAAGGAACGUUAAAGACGAUGACGUUGAUAGGCCGGGUGUGUAAGCGCAGCGAUGCGUUGAGCUAACCGGUACUAAUGAACCGUGAGGCUUAACCUU
RNAcentral lists this ribosomal RNA (2545 nucleotides) under Klebsiella pneumoniae. RNAcentral describes it as "partial 23S ribosomal RNA". It matches the Rfam family "Bacterial large subunit ribosomal RNA", at positions 398 to 2925 of the family's 2925-position model. The record is from RNAcentral. Lineage: Bacteria; Pseudomonadati; Pseudomonadota; Gammaproteobacteria; Enterobacterales; Enterobacteriaceae.